AGUGAACGCUGGCGGUAGGCCUAACACAUGCAAGUCGAACGGCAGCACAGUAAGAGCUUGCUCUUACGGGUGGCGAGUGGCGGACGGGUGAGGAAUACAUCGGAAUCUACUUUUUCGUGGGGGAUAACGUAGGGAAACUUACGCUAAUACCGCAUACUUCCUACGGGUGAAAGCAGGGGAUAUUCGCACCUUUCGCGACUGAAUGAGCCGAUGUCGGAUUAGCUAGUUGGCGGGGUAAAGGCCCACCAAGGCGACGAACCGUAGCUGGUCGGAGAGGAGGAUCAGCCACACUGGAACUGAGACACGGUCCAGACUCCUACGGGAGGCAGCAGUGGGGAAUAUUGGACAGUGGGCGCAAGCCUGAUCCAGCCAUACCGCGUGGGUGAAGAAGGCCUUCGGGUUGUAAAGCCCUUUUGUUGGGAAAGAAAAGCAGCAGGUUAAUACCCCGCUGUUCUGACGGUACCCAAAGAAUAAGCACCGGCUAACUUCGU
RNAcentral lists this ribosomal RNA (491 nucleotides) under uncultured bacterium. RNAcentral's name for it is "partial 16S ribosomal RNA". It matches the Rfam family "Bacterial small subunit ribosomal RNA", at positions 29 to 506 of the family's 1533-position model. The record is from RNAcentral.